UACUCUUGAGAGAUGAACUAAGGAUUUUGAGCAAGAUACUGGCUUUAACAGGCACAUACACAGGAGGGGGUCUUUCACCACCAGGCGAGAGAGGCGUCCUGUCAGGUGCCCUUCUGAUCGGGGCAUGUCAUCGAUAAUACCCCCGUCCCAGGUGGAGAGAAGCGAAUGUGGGCCUCCAUCCCGCUCUCUGCAAACACACCGUGACUGUGGACGUUCCCUGUCCAACCAGAGAUGAAAUUUAUCACAAUUUCAGUCACAGUCACACUACAGAGGACUUUGCAGAGAGAGAAAGAUGAGCUCCUGCUGGCUCCAGGCUCAGGUGCUGAAAGAGCUUGUUAAGCGCAAUCCUGUGAACAAGUUAAUAUCUCUCCUACCUAGUCUUGGGCCCCAGGAGCAGCUGUCUGAAGUAUGGGCUGACAGCACACAGCACAGCAGCGUGCGCCCACCCCAGCUCUUUUCCAGAGUCUCCUGCAUAGAAAGCCACAUCGGCGAACUGCACGCCACGCUCCAGCAACCACUGCAUGUCCUGGGAGAAGCUGGACUCUUCUACUCGGAUGGGGGGAAGACGGGCUGAGAGGGAGGAAGAAGGGUCAUGUAGGGUGAGAGAGAGGAAGAGGAGGAUAAGAGGAAUGAGCUGUGAGGAUGAUUAUCUUUCUGUAUGUUUAAAAAAAUUUAACUUUUCAUUUUCAUUUAAUCAAACUUGUUUGUAGCUACUCCUGAUUUUCCCAUGCCUUGAGUCAGGAGGUUUGACAACUCAUGGUAAGAAUGUUGACAGAGUAAGACAAUCUAGAGAGAUCCUUUAGCGAGGGAUGGUGAAAACAAACAUCACGUUGUGCCCUGCCCAAUGGCUCAAGUUCAUAAAAGAUAUUUCUGGACAUGUCUUUGCACUGAUGGCAGACCUGUCAGGAUGAAAACCAGUGUCGCUGCCCUGAUUUUUUUGCCCUUUAAAGUCAUUUAGGAUAUGUAA
Molecule: long non-coding RNA, 967 nt
Organism: Notolabrus celidotus (New Zealand spotty)
Lineage: Eukaryota; Metazoa; Chordata; Actinopteri; Labriformes; Labridae
Exons: 2
Source: RefSeq, a predicted model, not a curated record